This is a long non-coding RNA of Parasteatoda tepidariorum (common house spider), 717 nucleotides long. NCBI's taxonomy places the organism in Eukaryota, Metazoa, Arthropoda, Arachnida, Araneae, Theridiidae. The record is from RefSeq and is a predicted model, not a curated record.
UUAUGUCAUUUUAUCUUUAUAGUUUUUAGUAUGACACGGAUAGGCAAUGUGUUUUUCAGGUGCAAACGGAAAUAGUAUGAUAUAGUUACUGAUAAAAUUUCAAUUAAACAGCGCUUGUCAAAUAAGUAUUUGUAAAAGCGUUCGCACUUGUAUUUUGAAACCUUUGUACAAACAACACAUAUGUGCUACAAUAAUAUAAAAUUUUAUUACCAUAGUAAAUGAUAAUAUUUUAUUCUUUUUUUUUCUUUUGUGAUGGAAUUGGUACGGUGAUCAAGUGAUACAAAGAAGAUAGCCUUGAUCAGUUCUGUUGGAUUGUUUCUUAGGAAUGCUUUAGCAUGAAGUUACUACCUGUCAUAAUGCUGUUACUAUACUCUGGCUUUAUUUGCACCGUUUACGGAUCAUCCAAAUCAAAAUCUAAAUGUGAAAAAGAACGGGAUGAUAUAGCGGGAACUUUUAGCGAUAUUAAUGUUUUUAUACCAGUGUGUAAUGAUGACGGCACGUACACCAAAUCACAGUGUGAUGGUGCAACUGGAAACUGUUGGUGCGUGAAUAAGGAUGGAAAACAAAUCACCCCCAGAACAAAAGGACCACCAAAGUGCAAGUAGCUUCAGUACCUAAGUUUUAUCGUUUUGAGAAAAUAGGCCGAAAAAUGUAUUUUAAUAAGAUUUCUGGUUUGAAAUUCACUCAAUAACACAAAUAAAUGUUGUAGCUUAUGCA